AAUCUUCGAUACCGCUUUGUACUUACAAUCUUGUAUCCACUGACUGUCUUAUUAGAUUAACCCAAUAAAUUUCAUUCACUCCGCAUACUCAAUCCUAUAGACACCCUUUUAAUUUUUCAAUCUCAGACGUAACUCGAUUUCACAAAACAGUCAAUAGUAAUCAAACUCACUUCAUUAAAAAUCCCGAUUCACCAUUACAACACUGACUUCAGCAACGAUUGCCUCAGUCUUUCCAAAACCCUAUGAAGAAAAAAAAACCCAAUUCUCUGUCUUCUUUC
RNAcentral lists this long non-coding RNA (278 nucleotides) under Physcomitrium patens. RNAcentral describes it as "long non-coding RNA (PPAT_LNC008148)". Lineage: Eukaryota; Viridiplantae; Streptophyta; Bryopsida; Funariales; Funariaceae. The record is from RNAcentral.